This 1145-nucleotide long non-coding RNA is filed under the name Mus musculus (house mouse). Its description in RNAcentral is "RIKEN cDNA 4930529K09 gene". Lineage: Eukaryota; Metazoa; Chordata; Mammalia; Rodentia; Muridae. The record is from RNAcentral.
ACUGGAGCAAGCCUCAUUCAACCAGAACAGGCUGCCUUUCAUGGCCCCACAGAUCUGCCAUAAGCACAACAUUUAACGUGAAGAGAAAAAGCUCUGCAGAGAGAGCCACGUACGUGUCACUGAGGCGUAAGGAGAAUGUGACAAGAACUUUGUUCUUUUACUAAUUCUGACCUCAGAAUCAAAUCAGCUGCCCUCGUGAAUCGUAUCUCUCCAACUGCAUCUUGGCAAGGUAAGGGAAUUUGGCUGCAAUGAAGAGUGAAGGAUUUUUGCAUCUUCCAACUUCAGAAUAGCAAAGAGAGCGCGGAGGCAGAUGGAUGAGAUGAAGAAAUGGCACCCAACUCUGGAUUUGAACAUCUCUUAGACAAGAGGUGGGGGGAAAUAACAAGCCGAGAUAGAAAAGAAACCUUGAGAGACAAUAUUCUAGCCAAAGAGAUAUGCAGCACCUGUUCUUUCAUGCCCGCGUCAUUCCUGAAUGGUGAACUAAGCAAGAAUGAGGAAAGCAGAUAUAUAAGCAGUGGAAUGAAUAUGUUUGUAAACUUUUAAAGCACCCUUGAAAGGCAACACAAGCUGAAGCAUGUGUGUUAAAGGCACUAUGGAGGUGAACCUUUAAGAGAUGAGGCUCCGCACAAGUCCCUUCCAGUCCAAUGCAGCACCAGGGUCUCUGGCCCCGGGGAGUCUCCAGACACAGAAAAGACCUACACAGGAUCCGCGAUGGGAUCCUAAGACCUCUGGGCAGUGAAAAUCAGGUCACUGCAAUCAUGAAGGCAAGAGAUGUGGAACAUGGAACAUGAAGAAGGCACAUGGAACCAAGUGAAGUGGCUAAAGCUAUGAUGAAUUUAAAAUGAGGUAAAACAAGACGUGUGCUUCCUUCUCCUCGUUCACAAGCAGCUUGCAGAGGACAAGGUGAAGCAUUAAAAGACUGAACAAUGCUGAAACGCUUCGGAACUGUGCAAGCUGCCCCAAGACCCAGAAUAAUCAAUGUGGAACCCUGCUUACUCUUUUCAAAGGGCUGAAAUUUCCAACUGGAAACUGAAGCAACGAGGAUUCCUUCCAGGCACUAAUCAGUGGGAGUCCUCACUACUUUCUGAGAAGAGUGAAAUUCUCCAUCAAUGAAAGAAUCACUGGAGUAAAACUGGCAAACUUCU